This is a long non-coding RNA of Xenia sp. Carnegie-2017, 258 nucleotides long. RefSeq lists it as uncharacterized. Lineage: Eukaryota; Metazoa; Cnidaria; Anthozoa; Malacalcyonacea; Xeniidae. The record is from RefSeq and is a predicted model, not a curated record. The transcript is spliced from 3 exons.
CAAAACAAUAGGCAAUGUAUCUUUUAUAGGUUUGAAAAUUUCUCUUCGGGAAUAACAUUAAUCACAACGCAUGUUAGUACAGGAGUUUUCCAGCAACAGCGGCAACCCACGACAAAUUGAUUCUCUAAGAAAGUUGGAAAAAACUCACCGGAGAACUCUUCGCCUCACCCGCGGAGUGAAAAUUAAUGGAGGACAAGUGAAAUCUUAAAUCACACUUUGCGAUAUCAAUUUGCCAAAGUUGAAGCUCUUCAGGAACCC